Molecule: long non-coding RNA, 1368 nt
Organism: Perca flavescens (yellow perch)
Lineage: Eukaryota; Metazoa; Chordata; Actinopteri; Perciformes; Percidae
Exons: 3
Source: RefSeq, a predicted model, not a curated record
AGCAAGCAUAAGUGCACAAGAUUAGCACUUAGCUAACGUUAGCAGUCCUCUUAAAUCUGCUUUUUGUCAAUGAACCUAAUCUUUAAACUGUUUAGUUUGUAACUGACAUUGUGGCAUUUGUGUGUAUUCAUAAAUUUAAACAAAAAUGAAAUAGCUGCUCUGCCUCACAGCCAGACUUGCUGUUAUAGCAGCAUCUUACCAUUUACUGAGUUUUUUUGUCUGUUUGUACACUGUAACCGUGAACCCACUAACUCACAGUUUGUCACUGGUUUUCUCAACAGAACAUUGAUACUGCUGUGCGCUUUUGAUUGUGUUGGUUACCUCCGUGGUCCGCUGGCCUCCAGCUCCUCUCCCUCUCCAUCUAUCCAUUUGAGAUCAUUCACCUCUCUCCUAUCACUCUACCCACUCAUCCCUUAAUAUAAGACAUUCUAUCUCUCCUGUCAAUCUAAUACAUCUAUCUAAUUUUGAGGUUUUCUAUCUCUCCUGUCAUAUCUAAUAUAUCUAUCUAAAUUUUGGAAAUUCUAUCAUUCUAUCCCUCUAAUUCUAUCCCGCUCUAUCUCCUUGCAUUCUUGCAAGAAACCGAUAUUUUGGAACGAUAUAUUUGAACCUUGUCUUUUGGAACCUGAUAUUACAGAUUACUGGUAUCUGUUUUGGAUUCAUGGGUUGAUUGGAACCUGAUCAUUCUGUUUUAUGGAUCUGUGAGUUUCUCUGCUCACACUUUUUCUACCUCUCCUGUCUCUCUCUCACACACACAUUUGAUUUGGCCUUUUCAAUUGGCAAAAACCUUAUUAUUGUAUUUUUGAAUUGUCCAUAUUGUAUCAAUAUUGUAUUUGGUAACAGUCAUAAUUAAAUAAAUGAUUAAGUAUUUUUGUUCAUUAAAUUUAAAAUAAUUGAAAAGACAGAAACAACAUAAAUAACACACAUUUUGUUUAGCUUUUUAUCAAAAACAUUGGACUGUAAAAAGUAAUUAAAAAUUAAAUUGGUACAUUUCCAAAUAUAUAAGUUGCUGUUAUAAAGUGUAUCAUUGAAGAAAACUGUCUAUUGUUAAUGUACAUAACAAUAAAUUGAAGUCCAAAUCUAUAUUUAUAAAAGAAAAGAGCUGUAGUUUUCCUGGACCGUGUUGCUGUGGAGCUCUGUACCAAAAGGUUUGUUUUGACUGCAAAUAUAUUCAUACCAGAGUACACAUAAUCAGUUUUUGUUUGUACAAGUGUAAAAGUAAUUACACUACAUACAUUGAGUUAUUUGUCUCUCAUUCACAUAUUUGUACCUCGUCUAUAGAUCCACCCACAUUGUUGGCAUCAACACCUUUUGUACAUGCUUUAUUGUUGGUUAAACCUUUAUAAAGUGAAAUAAAUAAACCAACUGUAA